UACAUGGGGUGCAAACGUUGCUCGGAAUCAUUGGGCGUAAAGCGCACGUAGGCGGUUCGUUAUGUCGGAUGUGAAAGCCCUCGGCUUAACCGGGGAAGUGCAUCCGAAACUGGCGAGCUUGAGUACUAAAGAGGGUCGCGGAAUUCCCGGUGUAGCAGUGAAAUGCGUAGAGAUCGGGAGGAACAUCAGUUGCGAAGGCGGCUCUCUGGACCAGCACUGACACUGAGGCACGAAAGCGUGGGGAGCAAACAGG
Molecule: ribosomal RNA, 253 nt
Filed under: uncultured bacterium
Lineage: Bacteria
Description: partial 16S ribosomal RNA
Rfam family: Bacterial small subunit ribosomal RNA
Source: RNAcentral